CCAUGAGCCGCAUCAUGGACUGUGCCCUUGAUUCCAUGGACCGGUCGGUCGGUCCAUCAUGCAUCGAAGGUUAUUUAAAAUUGAUUUUUGGGUAUUUUUGCUUGAUUUUGCUUGGAUUUUAUGUUGAAAAAUAGAAAAAAAUAUAAAUUAAAUUAUUCAUUAGUUUUUCAAUUAUUUUGAUGCUUAAAUUGCUCAAUUAGCUUGAUGUCUAUUUUUCAUAAAUAUGCUCUAAUUUUAUAUUUUUAAAAUUAUUUAUUUUUAUGAGAAAAUCUAAUUUUUUUAUGAAAUUAAGUUUUUUAAAAGAUGUUAGCACCAUUA
RNAcentral lists this long non-coding RNA (318 nucleotides) under Elaeis guineensis (African oil palm). RNAcentral's name for it is "long non-coding RNA (EGUI_LNC002083)". The record is from RNAcentral. Lineage: Eukaryota; Viridiplantae; Streptophyta; Magnoliopsida; Arecales; Arecaceae.